Molecule: transfer RNA, 72 nt
Filed under: Camelus bactrianus (Bactrian camel)
Lineage: Eukaryota; Metazoa; Chordata; Mammalia; Artiodactyla; Camelidae
Also listed under: 2 other names
Rfam family: tRNA
About the family: Transfer RNA (tRNA) molecules are approximately 80 nucleotides in length. Their secondary structure includes four short double-helical elements and three loops (D, anti-codon, and T loops).
Source: Rfam by way of RNAcentral
GAGGGUAUAGCUCAGUGGUAGAGCACUUGCUUAGCAUGCACGAAGUCCUGGUUUCAAAACCGAGUACCUCCA